GGAUACAGAAAUGCUCUCUGCACUGCGCUGCCACUGCUGGGGGAUGGAGGGAUUUUGUGUCAGCAACUCAAGACUGUUUUUUCUACCUCUUCGGUGCCUCUUUCAGUGAUAUGAAGUUAAAACCAGGUCUCUUCUUCAGCCCUUGGACACAGUGUCAUCCCUAUUGGAGUCAAUAAAGGAGAACGGAAAGAGAGAUUCAAGACACACCAAGAGGAUAAACAUGGAGUUGAAGGCCAUGUGAAGAUGGAAGCAGAGACUGGAAUGAUGCAUCACCAUCAAGAAUUGCUGGCACCCACAAGCAGCUAGGAGAGAGGCAUGGGACAGAUUCUCCCUCUAAACCUCCAGAAGAAACCAACUCUGCUGACACUGUGAUUUCAGACUUCUGGUCCUCACAACUGUGAGAGAAUUCACUUCUGUUGCUAUAAGCCACCAAAUUUGUGGUAACUUGUUCUGCAGCCUUAGGAAAUUAACAUACUUGGUGUGUUAAUUAGGUUGAUAAUUAGGUCAACUUCCCAUAAGUGAAAGCCUGUGGGAAUGUUGGGCUAAGAGACCUAUUUCUGAUUUCUGGCUCCACAACUUAUUAGUUUGUGGUCAUAAACAUUUAACCUCUGUGAACCUCAGUUUUCUUAUCUGUAAAAUGGGCUUCCUUGAAGGAGCCUUCUCCUGAAUCCAGUCUGUAAAAAACUUUUGUUCUCUAGGCAAACUUUCCCUUUAUCUCUGCACUUAGGCCCUGUGUUAAUUAUUUUUGCUUAUCUUUGAUUCUAUCAGACUGAACAAAUUCUCUGAGGGCUGAGAUUAUAUGAUGUUUACCUUAAUGGUAAUGAUACCUAUAACACAGCAGGUAUCCUCAAUCCAUGCUUAUAUGGUUGUUUGGAGGAGUAAGUCUGGUACUUGGUAGCAACGGUUAUCUACGUUAAUUAUUUAUGACUGUUUUUAAGAUUUGUAGUCUUCUUUUUCAUUUUUAGUCACACAUCUGUACAUCCCUCAGGGAAAAGGCAGAAUUUAGACUGUUUUUUUGGGAAACAUGUAUACUUAAGCUUGUGGAGAGGUUCAAGGAAAAUGCUGUAGGUGAAGGAUACAACAGGAAAUGAGCGUGGUCUGCUCACAGGAUGCUAGGAGCCUAUCUGCAUAGAGGGGAAGCUUCAUUCCUGCAUAAAAAGAUGUAUUCUUAGGUAUUCUUAGCUGUAUUGUAAGUUCCCUUUCCCUUAAAGCAUGGUAAGCAAACUCUAUAGUAUAGGAUCCACAUUUUUGCACGUGUUUCCUUUUUGUUAAACUUAUUUGUUUAUAUACAUGACCUCAACAUGUUUGUGGCCUAGGGUCACGUGUGGUGAAACUAAAUGGGAUCACAGAUCUCAGAACUAUGGCCAGACCAGCUGUCCGAAUCUGGGAUUAUCUCCAUCUAUAAAUAGUGACUGGGCACAAAAUCAACUAGCAAAAUUAAGGGUUAUAGGGCUUGGGUAUUUGGGGAAAAAAAGAAAGGAAAGCAUGCCAAGAAAUCCAAGUGUUAGAAAUUAACCCUCCAGGAACAAAAGCAGUGGAAAGCUAUAGGCAACCACAAUUGACAGCAAUAAAGCUCGUCAGGAAUGGAAAUGUAUGAAUUGGUAAAAAGGAAAAUAUAAGGUGUUUUGAGAUGCUAAACUCCCUCUGUAUCAGAACUGUGCUGCCUGUUUUUGAAAAAAUAAUUCAAAGGAUUUCACUCUUUAAGGGUAUUGCAUAUGAAAAAUUGAAAUCUUUAUAUUCAUAAAACAACUGCAUGAAUAAAAUCAGCAUUUAAGAGGGAGUUCUUCACAUCCCAUGCUCAUGGAUGGGUAGAAUCAAUAUUGUGAAAAUGACCAUACUGCCAAAAGCAAUGUGCAAAUUCAAUGCAACCCCCAUCAGAAUACCAUCAUCAUUCUUCACAGAAUUAGAAAAAAAAUUCUAAAAUUUGUAUGGAAAGAAAAAAGAGCCUGCAUAGUCAAAGCAAGACUAAACAAAAAGAACAAAUCUGGAGGCAUCACACUACCUGAUUUCAACCUAUACUAUAAGGCCAUAGUCACCAAAACAGCAUGGCACUGGUAUAAAAAUAGGCACAUAGACCAAUGGAACAGAGUAGAGAACCCAGAAAUACACCCAAAUACUUACAGCCAACUAAUCUUCAACAAAGCAAACAAAAA
Long non-coding RNA from Pan troglodytes (chimpanzee), 2153 nucleotides. RefSeq lists it as uncharacterized. The transcript is spliced from 3 exons. The record is from RefSeq and is a predicted model, not a curated record. NCBI's taxonomy places the organism in Eukaryota, Metazoa, Chordata, Mammalia, Primates, Hominidae.